AUUGAACGCUGGCGGCAGGCUUAACACAUGCAAGUCGAGCGGGGUGAUGGUGCUUGCACUAUCACUUAGCGGCGGACGGGUGAGUAAUGCUUAGGAAUCUGCCUAUUAGUGGGGGACAACAUCUCGAAAGGGAUGCUCAUACCGCAUACGUCCUACGGGAGAAAGCAGGGGAUCACUUGUGACCUUGCGCUAAUAGAUGAGCCUAAGUCGGAUUAGCUAGUUGGUGGGGUAAAGGCCUACCAAGGCGACGAUCUGUAGCGGGUCUGAGAGGAUGAUCCGCCACACGGGGACUGAGACACGGCCCAGACUCCUACGGGAGGCAGCAGUGGGGACUAUUGGACAAGGGGGGGAACCCUGAUCCAGCCAUGCCGCGUGUGUGAAGAAGGCCUUAUGGUUGUAAAGCACUUUAAGCGAGGAGGAGGCUCUUUUGGUUAAUACCCAAGAUGAGUGGACGUUACUCGCAGAAUAAGCACCGGCUAACUCUGUGCCAGCAGCCGCGGUAA
Molecule: ribosomal RNA, 503 nt
Filed under: uncultured bacterium
Lineage: Bacteria
Description: partial 16S ribosomal RNA
Rfam family: Bacterial small subunit ribosomal RNA
Source: RNAcentral